UUACGACUUGAACCAAACUACUGUAGCUGUAUCGUCAUUCAUUCGACCUAAAUUGUGUCUCAUAUUACAAUGGACCAACUUUGUUUCGAUUUGGAGGUGCGGCCUAAAACUUUUCUCUCCCCUCAAAUUUCGAGUCUCAAAUUUCAGGGAAAAUUUUUUUCCUCGAUUUCGAGUCUCAUUUUUCAGGUGCGGCUUAGAUUCAAGUGCGGCUUAGAUUCAAGUAAAUACGGUACCCAUUUUUCUUAAAAACCAACUGUAGAUGGGGGCAAAACAUUAGCAAACAGUUUGAUACAUCAACAGUGACCCUAAACUCAGAAGUUUUAACUGAAAUAAACACUGGCUGUGAAAGCCUUCAUUGGUUUGUUGUCCUGUGUUAUGGAAUUAUUUUCUGGAGCAAUGCAUCUAAAGUAAAUAAUUUAUUCAGCAGAAGCAAGCAUACAGAACAUUGCAUAGCAGGUCCACAUCCAAGAAGAUUCUCCUUGAUGGGCUCUAUGGAACACAAUGAAUGAAUGGAUGAAAAAUGAAAAUCUGAUGGCAAAGUGAUUUAAUUCAAUUACUUUUGUGAGACAGGUGGGGUAAGGAAUUGG
Schistocerca cancellata (South American locust) is the source of this 587-nucleotide long non-coding RNA. RefSeq lists it as uncharacterized. The transcript is spliced from 3 exons. Lineage: Eukaryota; Metazoa; Arthropoda; Insecta; Orthoptera; Acrididae. The record is from RefSeq and is a predicted model, not a curated record.